AGAGUUUGAUCAUGGCUCAGAACGAACGCUGGCGGCAGGCCUAACACAUGCAAGUCGAACGAUAAGCCACCUUCGGGUGGUGGACAGUGGCAGACGGGUGAGUAACGCGUGGGAACGCGCCUUUCGGUUCGGAAUAACCCAGGGAAACUUGGGCUAAUACCGGAUACGCCCUUCGGGGGAAAGAUUCAUUGCCGAAAGAUCGGCCCGCGUCGGAUUAGCUAGUUGGUGGGGUAAUGGCUCACCAAGGCGACGAUCCGUAGCUGGUCUGAGAGGAUGACCAGCCACACUGGGACUGAGACACGGCCCAGACUCCUACGGGAGGCAGCAGUGGGGAAUAUUGGACAAUGGGCGCAAGCCUGAUCCAGCCAUGCCGCGUGGGUGAAGAAGGCCUUAGGGUUGUAAACCCCUUUCAGCGGGGAAGAUAAUGACGGUACCCGCAGAAGAAGUCCGGCUAACUACGUGCCAGCAGCCGCGGUA
Molecule: ribosomal RNA, 477 nt
Filed under: uncultured Pseudomonadota bacterium
Lineage: Bacteria; Pseudomonadati; Pseudomonadota
Description: bacterial SSU rRNA
Rfam family: Bacterial small subunit ribosomal RNA
Source: RNAcentral